Long non-coding RNA from Neofelis nebulosa (Clouded leopard), 2105 nucleotides. RefSeq lists it as uncharacterized. Lineage: Eukaryota; Metazoa; Chordata; Mammalia; Carnivora; Felidae. The record is from RefSeq and is a predicted model, not a curated record. The transcript has 2 exons.
CGACGAGGACGAGGACUCCGCAAGACAGGACUCCGCCAACUCAUGCACAGGUUUUCCUUAAUUACAACAAUGUCGCCUUAGAGCUAGGAAUAAUGACUUCCAGGUUUUUGUUUUAUUAGCAGUUUCACAGAAUGACUAUUGGAGGCAGGUGCUUAGAGUUUCUCACUUUGAUUAUGAAAUGUCUUCAAAGUAUUGUGUGUGGCAUACAUUCACAGAUUGCUCCUUUUCCUACUCACAGCAUUGAACUGAACAAGAGUUUGGAGAAAUGAUUAAAAAUAAAAAUUAUUAUUAUCUGUUGCUUAGUUUGUUCCUAGAUACACCAACAAUCCCAGGUCAAUAAAUAUUCCUGGUUUUUCUUCCAGGAAAGGGUUCAAACUGGGGCUGGUUUCAUAAUAACAAAGUAUUAUAGCCCUAGAUUUUGGCCUGUUAGCAAGUUCUUUUCAUUGAAUUUUAAAGUGACUUCAAAUAGAAAGAGCCCCUAACCAAGCACCUUUUAUUUAUCCAACCCAAAUACAAUUAUAAAUGAUCAGUUUUUCUACUCGCUUCUGAAGCUACUGCUGGUAAAGGAACAUCUGAAAAUAAUAGGAGAUCUGACAGGACUUUGAAUUCUGGCAAACAGCUUGCAGGGCUUCUAAUGCCCAGCUUAGCUGUAUGCACGUGCUUUAAAAAAUUAAAAAGAUUUGAAACACAAACUGCUUUCGACAUUUAUGCACCAUGGAAGUCAUGUUUAACUAUUUUUAUGCCAUAUGAGGAAUAAAUACCUUUAAUACAUUAAAAAACUGUUCCAUACAGUUUUAAGUACAGUGUAAAGCCCCACUUACAUAAUCUAAGUGACAUAAAGGGAACACUGCACCAUAUUUUGAUAAUUGCUCCAUAAUAAAUUUAAAGAAUGUAUUUUUUGUCUAAGCCUCACUUCUUAAUCUCCUGGGUAAACACGGCUAUUUGUUUUUCCUUUUCUUCUUUUUUCUGUACUUCUGUACUCCCAGCCAUGUUUCUUUGCCUUUUCCCUUUCGUAAUUCCUUUCACUUUUCUCCUCCUUCAGAGUUUCCAUUUUCCAAGAAGAAAGAAUUUCAGCAUUGCCCCCAGCUAACUUCUUAGUUACCAAACCAUAAGAGUGUUCAUUCUUUAUUGAAUUUACAGGGCACAGCCAUACAUGACUCCCAUACAUAUCCCAUGGAAAUACUUCAAUGCAUCAAUAGUGGAUGAACAGACGUUACUGUUAACUGUAAUUACCAAGUCUGACUUGUCAUCGCCUGCACGCACUUCCCAUUCUUUUCCUUUUUAGACUAGUACUACAUGUGAUAUUCUUAAAGGUAAACAGAAAGUAGUCAUACUAGUUCUAAAUUUGUAGUAAUCAUCAAAAGUAAGGGCUUUUAAAAUUUUUUAGAUGCUAUUUUUACCAUUGUUUCUGAAAAUAAUUCUCCUCACAGAAAAUAAUAUUCCACUGGUUGUUGUUAUGCUUGCUUCCAUUCCUGGAAGAUAUUCUAGCUCCUCACAUUGACUCAGCUUAGAAAUGAGAGGAAGAGGUGAUCAUAGAUCUGACAUUCACUUAGUUUAUUAGACUUACUUCCUACGGAUCGGUGACCCUGAAAGGAAAUAUGGUAAAAGGCAAAUGCCUGACUGGGGAAAAUGUUUAUUAAUACACAUCAGCUCUCAAAAAUAUUUUUUUAAAUGGAGACAGAUAAACAUCCCAAUAGAAAAAUAGGCAAAAAUAUGAAAAGGCAAUUCACAAAGGAAAUGCAAAUGGUCAAUUAACACAUGAAAAAUAUUCAAUUAAAUUAGUAUUCAAAGAAAUACACAUUUCUAAGCAAAUGAUUUUUUUCUCCUACCCAUUUUGCCAGGACUAAUAUUAGUGAUUAUAUUCAGUGUUGUCAUAAACGAGGAGCAUUCUCACACUUCUAGAAGCAGCACAAAAUAGUUGUCUUUCUGAAAGGGCAAAUUAGCCAUGCAUAUUAAAACUUUGAAAACUCCUCUGAAACCGUAACUGCUUAUUUCUGACUUAUGAUUAUGGGGGAUUUUGAUUUCUUCCUUUUGCUUAUCUAUGAUAAUAUAAAGUUUCUAUAGUGAAUGUGUAUUACUGUUAUAAUAAAAACAUAACAAACUAA